AGUCGACGCUUCUUUUUCCACCGGAGCUUGCUCCACCGGAAAAAGAGGAGUGGCGAACGGGUGAGUAACACGUGGGUAACCUGCCCAUCAGAAGGGGAUAACACUUGGAAACAGGUGCUAAUACCGUAUAACAAUCAAAACCGCAUGGUUUUGAUUUGAAAGGCGCUUUCGGGUGUCGCUGAUGGAUGGACCCGCGGUGCAUUAGCUAGUUGGUGAGGUAACGGCUCACCAAGGCCACGAUGCAUAGCCGACCUGAGAGGGUGAUCGGCCACAUUGGGACUGAGACACGGCCCAAACUCCUACGGGAGGCAGCAGUAGGGAAUCUUCGGCAAUGGACGAAAGUCUGACCGAGCAACGCCGCGUGAGUGAAGAAGGUUUUCGGAUCGUAAAACUCUGUUGUUAGAGAAGAACAAGGAUGAGAGUAACUGUUCAUCCCUUGACGGUAUCUAACCAGAAAGCCACGGCUAACUACGUGCCAGCAGCCGCGGUAAUACGUAGGUGGCAAGCGUUGUCCGGAUUUAUUGGGCGUAAAGCGAGCGCAGGCGGUUUCUUAAGUCUGAUGUGAAAGCCCCCGGCUCAACCGGGGAGGGUCAUUGGAAACUGGGAGACUUGAGUGCAGAAGAGGAGAGUGGAAUUCCAUGUGUAGCGGUGAAAUGCGUAGAUAUAUGGAGGAACACCAGUGGCGAAGGCGGCUCUCUGGUCUGUAACUGACGCUGAGGCUCGAAAGCGU
This 730-nucleotide ribosomal RNA is filed under the name uncultured bacterium. RNAcentral describes it as "bacterial SSU rRNA". It matches the Rfam family "Bacterial small subunit ribosomal RNA", at positions 60 to 762 of the family's 1533-position model. The record is from RNAcentral.